This 74-nucleotide transfer RNA is filed under the name Buchnera aphidicola (Melaphis rhois). Its description in RNAcentral is "tRNA-Arg". It matches the Rfam family "tRNA". Rfam says of the family: Transfer RNA (tRNA) molecules are approximately 80 nucleotides in length. Their secondary structure includes four short double-helical elements and three loops (D, anti-codon, and T loops). Further hydrogen bonds mediate the characteristic L-shaped molecular structure. tRNAs have two regions of fundamental functional importance: the anti-codon, which is responsible for specific mRNA codon recognition, and the 3' end, to which the tRNAs corresponding amino acid is attached (by aminoacyl-tRNA synthetases). tRNAs cope with the degeneracy of the genetic code in two manners: having more than one tRNA (with a specific anti-codon) for a particular amino acid; and 'wobble' base-pairing, i.e. permitting non-standard base-pairing at the 3rd anti-codon position. The record is from RNAcentral. Lineage: Bacteria; Pseudomonadati; Pseudomonadota; Gammaproteobacteria; Enterobacterales; Erwiniaceae.
GCGUUCGUAGCUCAGCUGGAUAGAGCGCUACCCUCCGAAGGUAGAAGUCUCAGGUUCAAAUCCUGACGAACGCA